CAGUAGCCGCGGGAAUACGUAGGGUGCGAGCGUUAAUCGGAAUUACUGGGCGUAAAGCGUGCGCAGGCGGUUUGUUAAGACGGAUGUGAAAUCCCCGGGCUCAACCUGGGAACUGCAUUCGUGACUGGCAAGCUAGAGUAUGGCAGAGGGGGGUGGAAUUCCACGUGUAGCGGUGAAAUGCGUAGAGAUGUGGAGGAACACCGAUGGCGAAGGCAGCCCCCUGGGCCAAUACUGACGCUCAUGCACGAAAGCGUGGGGAGCAAACAGGAUUAGAUACCCGUGUAGUCCCUGUCUCUUAUAC
RNAcentral lists this ribosomal RNA (301 nucleotides) under uncultured bacterium. RNAcentral's name for it is "partial 16S ribosomal RNA". It matches the Rfam family "Bacterial small subunit ribosomal RNA", at positions 509 to 807 of the family's 1533-position model. The record is from RNAcentral.